CAUCCUGGCCUACAGCAUCCUUAGAGAAGGUCACAUCCUGGCCUACAGCAUCCUUAGAGAAGGUACAUCCUGGCCUACAGCAUCCUUAGAGAAGGUACAUCCUGGCCUACAGCAUCCUUAGAGAGGUAACACAUCCUGGCCUACAGCAUCCUUAGAGAAGGUAACACAUCCUGGCCUACAGCAUCCUUAGAGAAGGUAACACAUCCUGGCCUACAGCAUCCUUAGAGAAGGUAACACAUCCUGGCCUACAGCAUCCUUAGAGAAGGUACACAUCCUGGCCUACAGCAUCCUUAGAGAAGGUAACACAUCCUGGCC
Salvelinus sp. IW2-2015 is the source of this 315-nucleotide non-coding RNA. Lineage: Eukaryota; Metazoa; Chordata; Actinopteri; Salmoniformes; Salmonidae. The record is from RefSeq and is a predicted model, not a curated record.